UACGUAGGUGGCGAGCGUUGUCCGGAUUUACUGGGCGUAAAGAGCGCGCAGGCGGCUGGUCAAGUCCGAUGUGAAAGCUCCCGGCUUAACUGGGAAAUUGCAUCGGAAACUGAUCGGCUGGAAGGUGGGAGAGGGUAGUGGAAUUCCCGGUGUAGUGGUGAAAUGCGUAGAUAUCGGGAGGAACACCAGUGGCGAAGGCGACUACCUGGCCUGUUCUUGACGCUGAGGCGCGAAAGCUAGGGGAGCAAACGGG
RNAcentral lists this ribosomal RNA (253 nucleotides) under uncultured bacterium. Its description in RNAcentral is "partial 16S ribosomal RNA". It matches the Rfam family "Bacterial small subunit ribosomal RNA", at positions 524 to 776 of the family's 1533-position model. The record is from RNAcentral.